GCGCCGCGGUAAUACAGAGACCUCAAGCGUUAUCCGGAUUUACUGGGCGUAAAGCGUCUGUAGGGGGUUUAUUAAGUUCCAAGUAAAAUUUCAAGGCUCAACUUUGAAUUCGCUUGGAAAACUAAUAAACUGGAGUCUAGCAGAGGUGCAUGGAACUUGUGGUGUAGGAGUGAAAUCCGUUGAUAUCACAAGGAACACCAAAGGCGAAGGCAUUGCACUGGGCUAGCACUGACCCUGAGAGACGAAAGCGUGGGGAGCAAAACGGAUUAGAUACCCGUGUAGUCCACGCCCUAAACGAUGAAUGCUAAAUGUUCGGGGAUUCGACCCCCUGGGUGUUACAGCUAACGCGUUAAGCAUUCCGCCUGGGAAGUACGGCCGCAAGGCUAAAACUCAAAGGAAUAGACGGGGAUCCGCACAAGCGGUGGAGCGUCUGGUUUAAUUCGACAGUAAGCGUGGUACCUCACCAGGGUUUGACAUCCCUUGACAGUCUUGGAAACAAGGUUUCCUUCGGGCAAGGUGACAGGUGCUGCAUGGUCGUCGUCAGUUCGUGCCGUGAGGUGUUCCGUUAAGUCGGGAAACGAACGAAACCCCUAUUGCAUGUUACAAUUUCUCAUGCAAGACUGCCCGGAUAUACUGGGAGGAAGGUGGGGAUGACGUCAGAUCUGCAUGGUCCUUAUACCCUGGGCGACACAGGCGCUACAAUGGCAGAGACAAAGGGUUGCAAAACCGCAAGGUGAAGCUAAUCCCAAAAACUUUGUCUAAGUUCGGAUUGAAGGCUGCAAUUCGCCUUCAUGAAGCUGGAAUCGCUAGUAAUCGUGAAUCAGCCCACGUCACGGUGAAU
RNAcentral lists this ribosomal RNA (841 nucleotides) under uncultured Parcubacteria group bacterium. RNAcentral's name for it is "bacterial SSU rRNA". It matches the Rfam family "Bacterial small subunit ribosomal RNA", at positions 511 to 1367 of the family's 1533-position model. The record is from RNAcentral.